This 250-nucleotide ribosomal RNA is filed under the name uncultured bacterium. Its description in RNAcentral is "partial 16S ribosomal RNA". It matches the Rfam family "Bacterial small subunit ribosomal RNA", at positions 524 to 773 of the family's 1533-position model. RNAcentral also lists the same sequence under 1 other name. The record is from RNAcentral.
UACGUAGGGUGCGAGCGUUGUCCGGAAUUAUUGGGCGUAAAGGGCUCGUAGGCGGUUUGUCACGUCGGGAGUGAAAACACCGGGCUUAACUCGGUGCUUGCUUCCGAUACGGGCAGACUAGAGGCAUGCAGGGGAGAACGGAAUUCCUGGUGUAGCGGUGAAAUGCGCAGAUAUCAGGAGGAACACCGGUGGCGAAGGCGGUUCUCUGGGCAUGUCCUGACGCUGAGGAGCGAAAGUGUGGGGAGCGAAC